ACACAUGCAAGUCGAACGGUAACAUUUCUAGCUUGCUAGAAGAUGACGAGUGGCGGACGGGUGAGUAAUGCUUGGGAACUUGCCUUUGUGAGGGGGAUAACAGUUGGAAACGACUGCUAAUACCGCAUAAUGUCUUCGGACCAAACGGGGCUUCGGCUCCGGCGCAAAGAGAGGCCCAAGUGAGAUUAGCUAGUUGGUAAGGUAACGGCUUACCAAGGCGACGAUCUCUAGCUGUUCUGAGAGGAAGAUCAGCCACACUGGGACUGAGACACGGCCCAGACUCCUACGGGAGGCAGCAGUGGGGAAUAUUGCACAAUGGGGGAAACCCUGAUGCAGCCAUGCCGCGUGUGUGAAGAAGGCCUUCGGGUUGUAAAGCACUUUCAGUUGUGAGGAAAAGUUAGUAGUUAAUACCUGCUAGCCGUGACGUUAACAACAGAAGAAGC
RNAcentral lists this ribosomal RNA (443 nucleotides) under uncultured bacterium. Its description in RNAcentral is "bacterial SSU rRNA". It matches the Rfam family "Bacterial small subunit ribosomal RNA", at positions 51 to 491 of the family's 1533-position model. The record is from RNAcentral.